GCCCGGGUGGUGAAAUUGGUAGACGCAGGGGACUCAAAAUCCCCCGCCGCAAGGCGUGCCGGUUCGAUUCCGGCCUCGGGCACCA
Molecule: transfer RNA, 85 nt
Filed under: Rhodoferax sp.
Lineage: Bacteria; Pseudomonadati; Pseudomonadota; Betaproteobacteria; Burkholderiales; Comamonadaceae
Also listed under: 15 other names
Description: tRNA-Leu
Rfam family: tRNA
About the family: Transfer RNA (tRNA) molecules are approximately 80 nucleotides in length. Their secondary structure includes four short double-helical elements and three loops (D, anti-codon, and T loops).
Source: RNAcentral